GGACGCUUCCUCUUCCCCACUCCCCUUUCUCUUUUUCCUCUUCCUCUUCCCCUCUCCACAAUGCGACGGUGCCGCCAAAUUGAUGCACCUUCGGCGGUGCGACGGUGACAUGCAUCUGUUCAGAUCAACAUCGGCGAUGAUGGCGACGGGAAGGGGUGCUGAAGCAGCUUUUCUCUUGAGGUAGUGAACCACGAGCUCUUCAUCGGUGGGGUGGAGCCGAAACCCUGGAGGAAGGUGUGGGUGGUGCUGUGCUAUCCAUGAUCAAAAACCACUACUUUGUGCUCAAUUUUCUAUGUACGUCUCGUGCAUCAUUUUAGUACAAACUGUUUUUUUCAUUAGAGCCUUUUCUUACUUUAUCUUCUGCUUUUUCCCUUCCUUUGCUCUUAACUUUCGUACGUUUUCGUGAUAUUUGGAGAAAAAGUAGCGGCUAGUGAUAUGGGACUUUGGAUUAAUUAGUGGGAUCAAUAUUGUAUGUGUAUGCAACUAUACAAUAAAUGUGCCUAAUGGAUGAGGAUGGUUUUUGUGACACAUGGGGUAGGGACCACACAACGAUAAUGAGGAUGAUGAGGCUGGUUUUGUGGGAAUGAAUAAUAAUAAGGGUUUGGGGAGUUUAGAAAUGGAAUGCUUUUGAUGUCAUGUUUUCUUAUGCAAACAAGCAACCAUAUCAGUUCAGUUUCA
Molecule: long non-coding RNA, 678 nt
Organism: Glycine soja
Lineage: Eukaryota; Viridiplantae; Streptophyta; Magnoliopsida; Fabales; Fabaceae
Exons: 2
Source: RefSeq, a predicted model, not a curated record